AUGCUUACCUGGUAGGAGGAAUAUCAUGUUCAAGAAUGUAGUUUCACCAGGUUAAAGUUCUGCCUCUGUACACUUUUGUUGGAGUGAUGCAAGUGAUUUCCCCAAAUGUGGAAAACUCAAUCGCCUAAUUUAUGGUAGUGGGUUACUGCAUUUGCUUGGUCCCC
Protopterus annectens (West African lungfish) is the source of this 164-nucleotide small nuclear RNA. RefSeq annotates it as U1 spliceosomal RNA. The record is from RefSeq and is a predicted model, not a curated record. NCBI's taxonomy places the organism in Eukaryota, Metazoa, Chordata, Ceratodontiformes, Protopteridae. The transcript has a single exon.